GGAAAUUAUCCAUCUAAUAGUCGAUUACUUCUGUUGUUGGAUGCUUGUCCUAAAGACGUUUCUAUGCACAGAAGGCUUCCAUCAAAGAGUCUUCAAAAUAUCGUCAACAGUGCUUGCGUUCAUCCAAAGGGUGGACGGGCUCUGGAAAACGUUAACCUUGUCUAUCAUCACGGAUGCGAUCAGAGUAGACUUGUUCUAGACUUCUUUGAAUUGCCAUCCGUAAAGUAAAAAAGGCAUCAGAUCGAUUUCCCUUGCAGUCGCUUUUGCAAUUCUGAUAAUUCGUUGUGCCCAAAAGUCAAGACGUCAAUCCCAGUCUUUACAGAAUUUACAGUUUUCGUGCAUAUCAUUUUUAAUUUAGAUAACUAAUCAGGAAAAUACAGCCGAUCUUCUGCGACAA
Molecule: long non-coding RNA, 397 nt
Organism: Exaiptasia diaphana
Lineage: Eukaryota; Metazoa; Cnidaria; Anthozoa; Actiniaria; Aiptasiidae
Exons: 3
Source: RefSeq, a predicted model, not a curated record